This 379-nucleotide unclassified non-coding RNA is filed under the name uncultured delta proteobacterium. Its description in RNAcentral is "contains 16S-23S intergenic spacer region". The record is from RNAcentral. Lineage: Bacteria; Deltaproteobacteria.
UCUGCCUUAUCGGCAAGCGGUCUCAUUAGAGUGCCCAACUGAAUGCUGGCAACUAAUGACAAGGGUUGCGCUCGUUGCGGGACUUAACCCAACAUCUCACGACACGAGCUGACGACAGCCAUGCAGCACCUGUCACCGCGUCCCCGAAGGGAUUUCACCACUUUCAUGGCUAUGCGCGGGAUGUCAAGCCUAGGUAAGGUUUUGCGCGUUGCAUCGAAUUGAACCACAUAAUCCACCGCUUGUGCGGGCCCCCGUCAAUUUCUUUGAGUUUUAAUCUUGCGACCGUACUUCCCAGGCGGGGUACUUAACGCGUUAGCUGCGACACUGGGAGGGUAAGAACUCCCAACAUCUAGUACCCAUCGUUUAUGGUGUGGACUAC